RNAcentral lists this long non-coding RNA (2946 nucleotides) under Triticum aestivum (bread wheat). RNAcentral describes it as "long non-coding RNA (TAES_LNC005972)". The record is from RNAcentral. Lineage: Eukaryota; Viridiplantae; Streptophyta; Magnoliopsida; Poales; Poaceae.
UGCCCGUCUAGCUCCGCCAUCUAGGAACGCCUGAGAAGAAAACUACAGCUAGCCUUCUGGUAUGCUUGUCUGCCAGGUUGCUAUGAGUUUUCAUAGUUAAUUCUGCAGCUUUUCAUUUAGAAAAUAUUUUGUUCAACUAUCCAUAUCAUCUACACCAUAUUUUGGUCCUUCAUCCCUGAAAGUACUUUUGCUUUAAAAAAGUGUGCUUGGAGCAUAGUAGUAUGUUGUAUCGUUGUUGGAUGUUGUAUAAUUCUGCAUCUUUGGAAAUGAUACGAGUGACAACAUUUUGAAAAUUCUAAGCAUACACACAUUUAGUUUAGAUAACAUAUUUUUAUCGUUAGUAGCAGUAGCUUGGAAGCUUGGAAAUAUUUUUUGGGCAAAGGCUAUAUUCAGAAGUAUGCUUGAGUAGUACAGUAGCAAACCCACUAGUAUGUACACACUUCUCUAUACCAAAUUCAGUUAAUUUUGAGAGACUUUUAUCAAGUGUUGAUUAGCCAUAACAAAAAAACACAAUGUAUGCUUACUUCAAAAUUUGGACUGGCCAACUAGUUUGUGCUCAUCUGGGUUAUGCUUGCUUUCAACUUGAGAGCAAUAACAGGGAUAUCCCUCUGUAUGCUUGCCUGUGAGGUUGCAACCAAUUUUUUUAGUUGAUUAUGUAAUAUUUAUUUAGGGCGGCGAGGUGCAAUGCACGGCGAGGUCAGUGGCAGGCAAGUGCGGCCCGUGAGGGGUGGCGCCCCGCGCUGGAUGCGUGAGCAAGCGGUAAGCCGGUGAAGCGCCAUUGACGGUGUGGUGUGUGGAGGAGCUGACUCGGUUGGAUCGCAGCCGCGCGUAUGCACUGGAUCGAACGGCUGCGCAGGGACCGGCCCAAUUUGGGCUGGUCGACCGGCGCCUAUCACCCCCCAAUUAUUUUUGUUCAAUGUUUGUACUGCAAACUAUAGUGCAGAAUCUUAGUUUAGUAUGUAUUGAUACUUUCCUGUACCAGAUUCAGUUAAUUUAGACUUUAUUCGGUGUUGAUUAGCCAUAACAAGAAAACAUAAUGUUUGCUUACUUCAAAAUUUUGACUGGACAACUAGUUUAUGCUCAUCUUGGGAUAUGUUUGCUUUCAACGUGAGAGCAAUAACAGGGAUAUCUCUCUUAUCCAUGCAUACAAAAAUUAAUCACUGGACAAGUUUGCUAUAGUUUGCUUGUACUAGAUUUUCGAGCAGUUUUGUAUUGUGAAAUUUCAUCCUCUUGUCGGAUAUUGUACAUGAGAACAAACUAAUCUCAGCUACCUAUUGAAGUACCUGCAUGUGAAGUGGUUGGAGGCACAAGACUUCGUCACACUUGCAAUAUGUGCCACUUCACUGAUUUCGCUUUAGUGAAACAAUUGUAUUAGCUCUUUGGUCUUUCUCAUUCGGCUUUUAUGACACUACAAUUGUAAAAAGACAACUUUUUUACCUUUUGUAUGUAGAAAAGAAGACACUCUUUCUGUGUGUAUGUAGAAAAUAAGACAUUUUUUCUGUGUAUUUUUAAUUUCCAAAAGGGGCACUUGCUCUAGAAUAAACGGACACAGGAAUAGUGUGAGAAGUGAGUCCAGCGAGAAGAAAAGAAGACCUGGAAUUCAUCAAAAGACGCACACAAGUGCAUCAUUUGUAAGGGAGUGGUGUUCCAUGAUGCAAGGACAUGCUCUAAGAAACAAAUGACACAACAGUAAAGGUUUGUGCUUCUUGCUUUGAAGACUACCUGUUCUUUUUGUCUUGUUAUUACUGCACAAUACUAUAUGUUUUUAGACGAGUCAUAUUUGUUUGGUGUGAACCAAUCAAGCUUAAAUAAGAGUGAACUAAUCGAGCCAUGACCUAGUGGAGUAUCCAAUUUUUUUAUUAAACUCUUUCCAAUAAAAAGUAUUAUAACAGAAGAUGUUAUGUCGACGUACAUAUAUUGUUCCUGCUUCACAAUGUGAACAAUUGAAAUUGUUGCAUGUCCAUUAUUAGGGUAUCUUUUUGGUUUACUGGUCUGAACUUGUAGUGCUGCUGUCAGCAAAUAUGUGCGCAUUCAGUCCAUGUUAGGGCACAAGAUAUAAUUAGCAGGAAAUGUCUGUUGGGGGGAGCAAACGGCUGAUUGUUUUGACCUACGUGGGCUUUAUUUGGGAUAGACUUUCGGUUGCUAACAAGCCAAUGAUCCAUACAACAGUACAACCGGUCAUAAGCUAUUUGAGUUAAGAAAGUCUUAGUGGGAUGAUGAGCUGCAAAAAUUGAUACAAGUGAUUCUUCAUUGUCAAGCUGUGAAUAUAUUUGCCGUACAAUAUUCUUUUCCUUGUCUCUUCACUGGUCUGACAUGUGCCUUUGUGCUGCAGCAUCAAAUUUUUUACUUCUGUCAUCUACGAGUUAGCAAAAGUACUUGAAUUGCAUUCUUAAUUGUUCAAUACAUACGCGAUUAGGAUUAGAGAACAUAAUUUUCCUAUUUCUUUCCUUGUAAUGUAAACUAUUUUUUCCUUGUAUUUCUAGAUGCUCUCUCACAACCGGAAACAUCAGGACUACAGAUGGAUAGAAGAAGCUUUUAUCAAAAUCUUCCCUUUCUGACAAUUGAGAGAAUUUCUCUGCAAGAUAAAUUUAACUCUGUUCUUGAUCAUGCAUCUGUAUGUGUCUGUGCUCAACUGAAUUGGGUUUGCUUGGUGUGAUCUUUCCCAGAACAAGAAGCUUCAUGAGUAAGUAGUAGAACUGGAGGGAAAGGGUAGAGUUUUUCUGUUAUGUACCAUCAAGAUAUUAGUCUUUAAUACUGUCUUGCUGGCUAUGUACUAAAAAUGGUGCUACCAUGCCUCAUCAAGAUAUGUAUGCUUGUGAUAUGCUCAAUCUGGGAUGGUCCAGUCUGAUGUUUUGUUAUGCUUCAAAAGGUGACUGAAUCUGUGCCAUAAGCCGUCGUUGGACAAAAUGAAUGGAGAGGGAGAUAAAAUACAUGAGGGGGUUGCUG